AUUGAACGCUGGCGGCAUGCCUUACACAUGCAAGUCGAACGGCAGCACGGGAGCAAUCCUGGUGGCGAGUGGCGAACGGGUGAGUAAUAUAUCGGAACGUGCCCAGUCGUGGGGGAUAACGUAGCGAAAGCUACGCUAAUACCGCAUACGAUCUACGGAUGAAAGCGGGGGAUCGCAAGACCUCGCGCGAUUGGAGCGGCCGAUAUCAGAUUAGCUAGUUGGUGGGGUAAAAGCUCACCAAGGCGACGAUCUGUAGCUGGUCUGAGAGGACGACCAGCCACACUGGAACUGAGACACGGUCCAGACUCCUACGGGAGGCAGCAGUGGGGAAUAUUGCACAAUGGGGGAAACCCUGAUGCAGCAACGCCGCGUGAGCGAUGAAGGCCCUUGGGUCGUAAAGCUCUGUCCUUGGGGAAGAAAAAAAUGACGGUACCCAUGGAGGAAGCCCCGGCUAACUACGUG
RNAcentral lists this ribosomal RNA (462 nucleotides) under uncultured bacterium. RNAcentral's name for it is "bacterial SSU rRNA". It matches the Rfam family "Bacterial small subunit ribosomal RNA", at positions 29 to 507 of the family's 1533-position model. The record is from RNAcentral.